GGCGGACGGGUGAGUAAUAUAUAGGUAAUGUGCCCUAGAGAAGAGGAUAACAGUUGGAAACGACUGCUAAUACUCUAUAUGCCUUUAAGACAAAAGUCUGCAAGGGAAAUAUUUAUAGCUCUAGGAUCGGCCUGUACGGUAUCAGCUAGUUGGUGAGGUAAUGGCUCACCAAGGCAAUGACGCCUAACUGGUUUGAGAGGAUGAUCAGUCACACUGGAACUGAGACACGGUCCAGACUCCUACGGGAGGCAGCAGUGGGGAAUAUUGCACAAUGGGGGAAACCCUGAUGCAGCAACGCCGCGUGGAGGAUGACACAUUUCGGUGCGUAAACUCCUUUUAUAUAGGAAGAUAAUGACGGUACUAUAUGAAUAAGCGCCGGCUAACUCCGUGCCAGCAGCCGCGGUAAUACGGAGGGCGCAAGCGUUACUCGGAAUCACUGGGCGUAAAGAGCGUGUAGGCGGGUUAAUAAGUUUGAAGUGAAAUCCUAUGGCUCAACCAUAGAACUGCUUUGAAAACUGUUAACCUAGAAUAUGGGAGAGGUAGAUGGAAUUUCUGGUGUAGGGGUAAAAUCCGUAGAGAUCAGAAGGAAUACCGAUUGCGAAGGCGAUCUACUGGAACAUUAUUGACGCUGAGACGCGAAAGCGUGGGGAGCAAACAGGAUUAGAUACCCUGGUAGUCCACGCCCUAAACGAUGUACACUAGUUGUUGUGAGGCUAGACCUUGCAGUAAUGCAGUAAACACAUUAAGUGUACCGCC
RNAcentral lists this ribosomal RNA (756 nucleotides) under uncultured Arcobacter sp. Its description in RNAcentral is "bacterial SSU rRNA". It matches the Rfam family "Bacterial small subunit ribosomal RNA", at positions 97 to 873 of the family's 1533-position model. Lineage: Bacteria; Pseudomonadati; Campylobacterota; Epsilonproteobacteria; Campylobacterales; Arcobacteraceae. The record is from RNAcentral.